RNAcentral lists this ribosomal RNA (261 nucleotides) under uncultured prokaryote. Its description in RNAcentral is "partial 16S ribosomal RNA". It matches the Rfam family "Bacterial small subunit ribosomal RNA", at positions 524 to 784 of the family's 1533-position model. The record is from RNAcentral.
UACGUAGGGGACGAGCGUUGUCCGGAAUUACUAGGCGUAAAGGGCGCGCAGGCUGUAGAUCAAGUCAGCUGUGAAAUGUCUGGGCUUAACCCGGGCAUGCGGUUGAAACUGAUGUACUGGAGUGCUGUAGAGGCAAGUGGAAUUCCCAGUGUAGCGGUGAAAUGCGUAGAUAUUGGGAAGAACACCGGUGGCGAAGGCGACUUGCUGGGCAGCAACUGACGCUGAGGCGCGAAAGCCUGGGGAGCAAACGGGGAUUAGAUA